This 134-nucleotide microRNA precursor is filed under the name Marmota monax (woodchuck). Lineage: Eukaryota; Metazoa; Chordata; Mammalia; Rodentia; Sciuridae. The record is from RNAcentral.
GCCCAUAAUUCAUAUUCAUUCUCUCUCUCUCUCUCUCUCUCUCUCUCUCCCUCUGUGUGUGUGUGUGUGUGUGUGUGUGUGUGUGAGAGAGAGAGAGAGAGAGAGAGAGAGAGAGCAUGUACUUCAAAAUGCAU